CAGCCGCCGCGGGAAUACGUAGGGUGCAAGCGUUAAUCGGAAUUACUGGGCAUAAAGCGUGCGCAGGCGGUGUUGUAAGACUGAUGUGAAAUCCCCGGGCUCAACCUGGGAACUGCAUUGGUGACUGCAACGCUGGAGUGCGGCAGAGGGGGAUGGAAUUCCGCGUGUAGCAGUGAAAUGCGUAGAUAUGCGGAGGAACACCGAUGGCGAAGGCAAUCCCCUGGGCCUGCACUGACGCUCAUGCACGAAAGCGUGGGGAGCAAACAGGAUUAGAUACCCCGGUAGUCCCUGUCUCUUAUAC
This 301-nucleotide ribosomal RNA is filed under the name uncultured bacterium. Its description in RNAcentral is "partial 16S ribosomal RNA". It matches the Rfam family "Bacterial small subunit ribosomal RNA", at positions 509 to 807 of the family's 1533-position model. The record is from RNAcentral.